GAUGGAAGAACGUAGCGAAAUGCGAUACUUGGUGUGAAUUGCAGAAUCCCGUGAACCAUCGAGUCUUUGAACGCAAGUUGCGCCCGAAGCCAUUAGGCCGAGGGCACGCCUGCCUGGGCGUCACACGUCGUUGCCCCCCCAUCUACUCCUUCGGGAUUGCGGGGGGCGGAUGAUGGCCUCCCGUGCGCCUCGCCGCGCGGUUGGCAUAAAUGCCAAGUCCUCGGCGACGCACGCCACGACAAUCGGUGGUUGCGAAACCUCGGUUGCCCGUCGUGUGCGGUCGUCGCGCAUCGAGGGCUCGAAAAAAUUGCCGGGUUCCGGCUCGGCUUUCAACGCGACCCCAGGUCAGGCGGGGUUACCCGCUGAAUUUAAGCAUAUCAAUAAGCGGAGGA
RNAcentral lists this unclassified non-coding RNA (392 nucleotides) under soil metagenome. Its description in RNAcentral is "partial contains 5.8S ribosomal RNA, internal transcribed spacer 2, and large subunit ribosomal RNA". The stretch from base 5 to 123 matches the Rfam family "5.8S ribosomal RNA", at positions 38 to 154 of the family's 154-position model. The record is from RNAcentral.